Small nuclear RNA from Panthera pardus (leopard), 106 nucleotides. NCBI's taxonomy places the organism in Eukaryota, Metazoa, Chordata, Mammalia, Carnivora, Felidae. The record is from Ensembl.
UUGCCCACUUUGGCUGCACACAUAAUAGAACUGAAAUGAUACAGAGAAGAUUAGCAUGGCCCCCCAUAAGGAUGACACACAAAUUUGUGAACUGUUCCAUAUUUUU